UAGUCCGCACGAGCGCAACCCCUGUCCUUAGUUUGCCAUCAGGUUAAUGCUGGGAACUCUAAGUGAGUACUGCCGGUGACAAGCCGGAGGAAGGUGGGGAUGACGUCAAGUCCUCAUGGUCCUUACGCCCUGGGCUGGAAGCGUGCUACAAUGGCCGGUACGAUGGGCUGCGAUACCGCGAGGUGGAGCCAAUCCCAAAAAACCGGCCCCAGUUGGGAUUGCAGUCUGCAACUCGACUGCAUGAACGUGGAAUUGCUAGUAAUCGCGGAUCAGCACGCCGCGGUGAAUACGUUCCCGGGUCUUGUACACACCGCCCGUCAAGCUAGGAAAGCUGGAAAUGCCUGAAGUCGCAGCCCUAACCCGCGAGGGAGGGGAGUGCCGAGGGCAGAGCUGGCGAUUCGAGCUAAGUCGUAACAAGGUAGCCGUACCGGAAGGUGCGGCUGGAUCACCUCCUUU
This 456-nucleotide ribosomal RNA is filed under the name uncultured bacterium. RNAcentral's name for it is "bacterial SSU rRNA". It matches the Rfam family "Bacterial small subunit ribosomal RNA", at positions 1082 to 1533 of the family's 1533-position model. The record is from RNAcentral.